Long non-coding RNA from Amphibalanus amphitrite, 379 nucleotides. RefSeq lists it as uncharacterized. NCBI's taxonomy places the organism in Eukaryota, Metazoa, Arthropoda, Thecostraca, Balanomorpha, Balanidae. The transcript has 3 exons. The record is from RefSeq and is a predicted model, not a curated record.
AGCAAACAAAGAAGAUGGCACCACCAGAAAAGAAACAGGCCACCUUGAAUGACUUCUUUCUGGCCAUGCAGAAAAGGCCCCCUUCUAAGGAGACACCACCUAAGGCUUCUACAUCCCAGGCUGCUGCUGAAGAGGUUCCUGAUAUCCCCCUGGAUGCAUGCGAAGGAGAUGGUGAAAAAGCGCAAGGGCUGGGAAAAGGUCGAUCCCUUCACCCUGAUCCUGUCCUGGAUGAGCCUAAUCAGCCGACGAUUGUCUUCCCGGUGGAAGAUGGACGUCGGUUCCGGAAGGAGUGGUUCAAGCAGUUCCCGUUCCUCGAUUACCACGUCUCCUCAGAUUCUGUGACAUGUCACACUUGUCGCAUUGCGCUUUCCAAUGGUUU